CGAAAGCCUGACGGAGCAACGCCGCGUGUGGGAAGAAGGCUCUUGGGCUGUCAACCACUUUUCUCAGGGAAGAAGUUCUGACGGUACCUGAGGAAUCAGCCUCGGCUAACUCCGUGCCAGCAGCCGCGGUAAUACGGAGGAGGCAAGCGUUAUCCGGAAUCAUUGGGCGUAAAGCGUUCGUAGGCGGCUGUUCAAGUCUGCUGUCAAAGACCGAGGCUCAACCUCGGGUCGGCAGUGGAAACUGGAUAGCUAGAGGUCGGUAGGGGCAAAGGGAAUUCCCAGUGUAGCGGUGAAAUGCGUAGAUAUUGGGAAGAACACCAGUGGCGAAGGCGCUCUACUGGGCCGUAACUGACGCUGAGGGACGAAAGCUAGGGGAGCG
RNAcentral lists this ribosomal RNA (379 nucleotides) under uncultured cyanobacterium. RNAcentral's name for it is "bacterial SSU rRNA". It matches the Rfam family "Bacterial small subunit ribosomal RNA", at positions 376 to 770 of the family's 1533-position model. The record is from RNAcentral. Lineage: Bacteria; Bacillati; Cyanobacteriota.